UACGGAGGGUGCAAGCGUUAUCCGGAUUCACUGGGUUUAAAGGGUGCGUAGGUGGGUCUGUAAGUCCGUGGUGAAAUCUCCGAGCUUAACUUGGAAACUGCCAUGGAUACUAUAGAUCUUGAAUACUGUGGAGGUUAGCGGAAUAUGUCAUGUAGCGGUGAAAUGCUUAGAUAUGACAUAGAACACCAAUUGCGCAGGCAGCUUACUACACAGUAAUUGACGCUGAGGCACGAAAGCGUGGGGAUCAAACAGG
RNAcentral lists this ribosomal RNA (253 nucleotides) under uncultured bacterium. RNAcentral describes it as "partial 16S ribosomal RNA". It matches the Rfam family "Bacterial small subunit ribosomal RNA", at positions 524 to 776 of the family's 1533-position model. The record is from RNAcentral.